RNAcentral lists this ribosomal RNA (435 nucleotides) under Pseudunela marteli. RNAcentral describes it as "partial 16S ribosomal RNA". It matches the Rfam family "Archaeal large subunit ribosomal RNA", at positions 1908 to 2666 of the family's 2987-position model. Lineage: Eukaryota; Metazoa; Mollusca; Gastropoda; Acochlidiacea; Pseudunelidae. The record is from RNAcentral.
AGCCUUAGGUUUCUUCUAAGGUGUGCCCUGCCCACUGAUAUUUUUUUAACGGCCGCAGUACCUUGACUGUGCUAAGGUAGCGUAAUCAGUUGGCUUUUAAUUGGAGUCGAGAAUGAAUGGGUAAACGGGGGCUAGCUGUCUCUAACCUGCUUAAUUGAAUUUACUUAAAGGGUGAAAAUUCCCUUAUUAAAGAAAAAAGACGAGAAGACCCUUGGAGUUUUGAUUAAUCGAGUUACACGUAUUUUUUUGUUGGGGCGACAGGAAGGCAAAAAUUAACCCUUCUAAAUAUAUAUGACUUGACGGACUUUUCAAGAAAGAUUAAACUACCCUAGGGAUAACAGCAUAAUGUUUCAAAAAGCUUGUGACCUCGAUGUUGGACUAGGAACUAAAUGGCUAGCCGUCAAGUUAGUUUGUUCUGUUCGAACUUAUCCUCCU